AAAGGGUCCGUAGGCGGAUCUGUAAGUCAGUGGUGAAAUCUCACAGCUUAACUGUGAAACUGCCAUUGAUACUGCAGGUCUUGAGUGUUGUUGAAGUAGCUGGAAUAAGUAGUGUAGCGGUGAAAUGCAUAGAUAUUACUUAGAACACCAAUUGCGAAGGCAGGUUACUAAGCAACAACUGACGCUGAUGGACGAAAGCGUGGGGAGCGAACAGGAUUAGAUACCCUGGUAGUCCACGCCGUAAACGAUGCUAACUCGUUUUUGGGCUUUCGGGUUCAGAGACUAAGCGAAAGUGAUAAGUUAGCCACCUGGGGAGUACGAACGCAAGUUUGAAACUCAAAGGAAUUGACGGGGGCCCGCACAAGCGGUGGAUUAUGUGGUUUAAUUCGAUGAUACGCGAGGAACCUUACCAAGGCUUAAAUGGGAAAUGACAGGUUUAGAAAUAGACUUUUCUUCGGACAUUUUUCAAGGUGCUGCAUGGUUGUCGUCAGCUCGUGCCGUGAGGUGUUAGGUUAAGUCCUGCAACGAGCGCAACCCCUGUCACUAGUUGCCAUCAUUAAGUUGGGGACUCUAGUGAGACUGCCUACGCAAGUAGAGAGGAAGGUGGGGAUGACGUCAAAUCAUCACGGCCCUUACGCCUUGGGCCACACACGUAAUACAAUGGCCGGUACAGAGGGCAGCUACACAGCGAUGUGAUGCAAAUCUCGAAAGCCGGUCUCAGUUCGGAUUGGAGUCUGCAACUCGACUCUAUGAAGCUGGAAUCGCUAGU
Molecule: ribosomal RNA, 769 nt
Filed under: uncultured bacterium
Lineage: Bacteria
Description: bacterial SSU rRNA
Rfam family: Bacterial small subunit ribosomal RNA
Source: RNAcentral